Molecule: non-coding RNA, 117 nt
Filed under: Homo sapiens (human)
Lineage: Eukaryota; Metazoa; Chordata; Mammalia; Primates; Hominidae
Source: Rfam by way of RNAcentral
GCCGGGUGUGGUGGCUCAUACCUGUAAUCCCAGCACUUUGGGAGGCUGAGGCAGGCGGAUCACCUGAGGUCAGGAGUUUAAGACCAGCCUGGCCAACAUGGUGAAACCCUGUCUCUA